GGACGAACGCUGGCUGCGUGCUUAACACAUGCAAGUCGAACGCUGAAGCCCCAGCUUGCUGGGGUGGAUGAGUGGCGAACGGGUGAGUAACACGUGAGUAACCUGCCCCUGACUUCGGGAUAAGCCCGGGAAACUGGGUCUAAUACCGGAUACGACYGUCGGACGCAUGUCUGGUGGUGGAAAGUUUUUUCGGUUGGGGAUGGGCUCGCGGCCUAUCAGUUUGUUGGUGAGGUAAUGGCUCACCAAGACGACGACGGGUAGCCGGCCUGAGAGGGCGACCGGCCACACUGGGACUGAGACACGGCCCAGACUCCUACGGGAGGCAGCAGUGGGGAAUAUUGCACAAUGGGGGAAACCCUGAUGCAGCGACGCAGCGUGCGGGAUGACGGCCUUCGGGUUGUAAACCGCUUUCAGCAGGGAAGAAGCCUCACGGUGACGGUACCUGCAGAAGAAGUACCGGCUAACUACGU
RNAcentral lists this ribosomal RNA (470 nucleotides) under Brevibacterium sp. 'ARUP UnID 163 '. RNAcentral's name for it is "bacterial SSU rRNA". It matches the Rfam family "Bacterial small subunit ribosomal RNA", at positions 27 to 506 of the family's 1533-position model. Lineage: Bacteria; Bacillati; Actinomycetota; Actinomycetes; Micrococcales; Brevibacteriaceae. The record is from RNAcentral.